RNAcentral lists this ribosomal RNA (776 nucleotides) under uncultured Neocallimastigales. Its description in RNAcentral is "partial large subunit ribosomal RNA". It matches the Rfam family "Eukaryotic large subunit ribosomal RNA", at positions 23 to 640 of the family's 3401-position model. Lineage: Eukaryota; Fungi; Neocallimastigomycota; Neocallimastigomycetes; Neocallimastigales. The record is from RNAcentral.
UAGAGAUGUGUGAUGACGCAUAUCAAUAAGCGGAGGAAAAGAAACUAACAAGGAUUCCCUUAGUAACGGCGAGUGAAGCGGGAAGAGCUCAAAUUUGAAAUCUUCAAGGUUCUACCUUGACGAAUUGUAGUUUAUAGAAGUGUUUUCUGUUAGUAGAGUGGCAAAAGUUCUUUGGAAUAGGACAUCAUAGAGGGUGAGAAUCCCGUAUUUGGUCAUUCCUUCUAGCUUUGUGAUACACUUUCAAAGAGUCGGAUUGUUUGGGAAUGCAGUCCAAAAUGGGUGGUAAAUUUCAUCUAAAGCUAAAUAUUGGCGAGAGACCGAUAGCGAACAAGUACCGUGAGGGAAAGAUGAAAAGAACUUUGAAAAGAGAGUUAAACAGUACGUGAAAUUGUCAAAAGGGAAGCGUUUGACACCAGUGUUGUUUUUCCGAAAAUCAAUUACGAAUGUUUUAUUUUUGAGGAGUUAUGACUUCAUCGGCUUGCUCCUUUCUUUAUGAAACUUUCUUAAUGCACUUUUCGGUUAACAAGUCAACAUCAAUUUCUUUUGUUGUAAAAGAGUAUUGGGAAGGUGGCUUUCUUUUCGGAGAAAGUGUUUAUAGCCCUUUACUUCUGCAAUCGGAGAGAUUGAGGUCUGCAGCGUAGAUCCUUCGGGGUUAGAUACAUUUGUGCUAAGUUAUAGCUUUUCAUAGACAACUUGUUGACUAUGAUUAGUCUUGUAGCUUACUCGUUAUGCGCUAUUUUACCUACGCUUAGGAUGUUGACAGCAGUAUAGACUGU